RNAcentral lists this long non-coding RNA (11389 nucleotides) under Vitis vinifera (wine grape). RNAcentral's name for it is "long non-coding RNA (VVIN_LNC006730)". The record is from RNAcentral. Lineage: Eukaryota; Viridiplantae; Streptophyta; Magnoliopsida; Vitales; Vitaceae.
UUGCACUUAAAUCUUUUUACUGAGUCAAGCAUUAAAAGGUUGUGUUUGGUUAAAAAAGAAAAAGAAAAACUGAAUAAAGGAUUUAGAGUAAUAAGAGUUUGCCACAUAAAGUUUAUGAAGGUGAAGGCUAAUAAUAGGAGGGAAGUUAAAACUUCACAACCUAUUUGAAAUUAUAAAACAUGAUUAGCUAACAAUUCGUUAAAGGUUGUAUUCAUCUUGAGCUUCUCCAAUUACACUAUAAAAUGGCUCGAGAAGAAUGAGGUUUCUCCAUUGUUAAUUGCUUACGAGUUUUACCAAACAAAGCAGAAGAGAGGGACAAGGCAAAGAUGGGCCUAAAAAUGAAUAUCACAGCAACCUCUCUUCUGCUAUUGCUAGCAUCUUCUACAGAAGUGUUCGGUGAUACCAUUUUUUACGUUACCAAAUAUGAGGCCAAGGCUGAUGGAAACACUGAUAUUACCCAGGUGAGGGCAAUGCAAUUAUAAUAUUUGUAAGAUGUUAAAAUUGAAUUUUUGCUUAAUGGGUUCUCUGUGGAAUGUUUUCUUAGGCCUUACUUAAUGCUUGGCGAGAUGCUUGUGCGUCGCCUGUGGUGAGUACAGUUAUGAUUCCAGAUGGGACAUAUGCCCUAGGGCAAAUAACCAUUGGAGGCCCUUACAAGGCUCCUAUCAAUUUCAAUGUCCAAGGCACUGUGAAGUCCUCGAUGGAUACCAGCAGGUUCAAGGCUGAAGCUGGUUGGAUUGCUUUCCAACAAAUCGACCAGUUCAUAUUGUCUUAUGGUGGAGUUUUUUAUGGCCAAGCAAAACCUGUAUAGGGUAGAAAAUGCCCCAUUUCUGCAUAUUGCAACCAACUUCCCAUCGUAAGUUCAUGUGUAUAUAUAUAUAUAUAUAUAUAUAUAUAUAUAUAUAUAUAUAUGCUUACGUAAUUCUUUCAUUUUGUGUUCGUAAUGAGGACACUAGCUAACAGUAUAAGCUUUGGUGUCUUUUUUUUUUUUUUUUUGUUAAUUCAAAUAUCUAUAACAGAAUCUGAGAUUCAACUUCAUCACCAAUAGCAUGGUCAAGGACAUAACUUCAAGAGAUAGCAAACAGUUUCAAAUGAAUCUUUUGGGGUGCAAGAAUUUGACUUUCUACAACGUUGGAAUUAGUGCACCAGAAGUGAGCAUUAAUACAGAUGGAAUUCACAUUGGACGGUCCUCAGGGUUCAAUAUAACCAAUUCAACUGUAGAGACCGGAGAUGAUUGUGUCUCAAUUGGUGAUGGCAGUGAGCAAAUUAAUAUCCAAAGCGUAACCUGCGGACCCGGCUAUGGCAUCAGUGUGGGAAGUCUAGGAAAGUGCCCCAAUGAAGAACCUGUGGUUGGCAUUAGUGUCAAGAACUGUACCUUCACCCCCAGAAUGGCAUGAGAGUGAAGACAUGGCCUACGUCCCAUCAAGGCACUGCUUCUAAAAUGCAUUUUGAAGAUAUUGUCUGAAUGAUGUUGCCAAUCCCAAAAUCAAAGAUCAAGAGUACUGCCCCCAUAACCAAUGCAACUUGAAGGUACAUUUAAAGGAAACGAAAAAUUCCAUUUUUAUUGUUUACUUUCCCUCUUUUUCCCUUCAUUUUCAUUGGUCUGGAACUUAACUUUCCGUUGUUUUCAGAGUCCAUCACGCAUUAAGCUCAGUAAGCUUCAGAAACAUCCGGGGCACUACCUCAACUCAGGUUGUUGUCAAGCUUGUUUGUGAUCAGGGAGUCCCAUGCCAAGACGUGGAGCUUGGUGACAUCAACUUGAAAUACAACGAAAAUGAAGGCCCAGCCAUGUCAUAAUGCAAGAACAUUAAACCAAAUCUACUGGGCAAGCAACUGCCAAGGACUUGUGCCUAAGAUGCUUAAUCUUCUUUCGAAGUCUGAAAAAUUGUACUGCUUCUAUUAUAUAGCUACCUCUUCAUGCUUACGCGUCUGCUAGUUUAUUGGUGAAUAAACUACAAUGAACACACAAAAAUACAACACUCGUCUAUUUUGGAAGGUAUGUGCAGUUUGAUCCCAUGAGAAAAAACAAAUGUCUAUUCAGUCGUUUUUUACAUAAGCAUCCAAGUUUAGAUGAGGAUUGAGCUGCCGUAGUACAAAUUGUAGCUCCAAAGAAUAAUCUUAAUGUUAAUGCAGUUUGGAUUACCAAAUGUAGUCAAGUGAAUUAAAAUUCCUUUAGGGUGUAUUAUUUGAAAUUUAAUCUUUGGAUUACUAGAACCAAGAAAAAACUAUAGAUUGGUAUUUGGUGUGUUGGAAAUGCUUGAUGGUCAGUGAUCGAACUAAUGACUUCGAGAAAAGCUAAGAAUGAUAAACACAAUAGUAAUAAAUGGCAAGAACCGACAAAAAUAUUGAAGUUGUAAUUCUCUCAAGGUGUGUAGUUUGGGAUUUGAAUUAUAUGUAAAGAAGAAAUGCUCUUGGAAACUGCAGCACGAUGAAUCUUGAAUGGUUUUCCAUCAUAUGGCUUUGUUGUUUGGAGAUGACUAAGUAAUAUUAGUUUUACCAAUCCUCCGGCCUUAAGCUAGCAUGUGAAAGUUGUAGCAUUAGCGGAGAGUUGAUAACAGUUUCUCGGUAGUUGGAAGCUUGAACCCUGACAUAUUAGUGCAAGGACAUGAAGAUAUUAAAUCAUUCAUACAAUUUAUUGUCUGAGAGGAUAGAAAAAAUAUAUAAAACCACUUAAGAUCUUAAAAACAUCCUAUAUUUCUCCAUUUUUUGUAUUUACACUCUGAUCCAUGGACUUUCACCCCACAAAAUGUCUCACAUUCUUUUUCAAAUUUCUACCUACAUUUAAACUUCUCAUGUCUAUUUUCAUCUCAUAACUUUUUUCUCCUCAUGACCUAAUUAAAAUAUAUAUAGAGAUAAUCCUACCAACUUUUAUUUUAUACGCAAACCUAUUUAUAUAAGGAAUUAAUUGUAAAAUAUCCUAUAUAAGCUACCUUAGCAUAGUUGAAUUAGGUUAUAAAUUUUAUUUUGAUACAAUAAAUAACAAAAAUCCAUUUAUAAAAAUAUAUAAAAAUCCAAUAAUUGUAUAGGAGAAACCACACUUAUUUUAAAUAAAUAAUAAAGUACAUGCUCCAAGUAUUAAAAGGUUAUCUUUGGUGUGUAUGAUUUGGAGAGUCCCAGAUAAUGUGCAAGUAGAUGAGACCUUGAGUGAGAUGUUUUCUCUUUCAAAUCAAUUUCAAAGUUGCGAAAUCCAAAAUUUCAAGCUCUUUUUAGAAGUGUUUUAGAAAAUAGUUCAAAAAAAACACUUCUUGAAAAUAGCUUUUGAAAAUUAUUCUCUAAUAUUUUAUACCACAUAUGUUUGUUUGAGAACCUACAAUAUUCUUAACUUAUUUUGUAUAUUUUUAAAUACAUUUUAAAAAUAAUUUUCAUAUGCAUUGCUUUAUUUUUAGUCGUUCUCCAUAUUUGUAUAAUUAUUUUUAAAACAACCCUAGAAAAAAGUAAAAUGAAAUGAAAAUAACUAAAAGAUGUUCUUUUGAAACAUUGUAUUUUCUAUUUAAAAUCUUUUUUUUUCUAGUUGUUAAACAUACUUUCUUGUUUUUUUUUUUUUUAUAUAUUCUAGAUAAUUAAAAACUAUUUUCAAAGCAAGACCUGAAUUUUUACUAUGAAAAAUCGAAACGGUGCUCAAACUUAGACUUCAAAUUGAUUUUAACCAAAAUAUGUUUUUUCUCUUUUUUUUCCUAUCAAAUCAAAACUCCAAUUUCUAUCGUUGGACUAAGAACUUUAAAUCAUUUUCUAUUGGCAAUAGAGUCUUUGAUUUAAGGACACAAAAUACACAUGAAAAAUCUCAUAGCUAUGUCUGUGCGUGUACAUAACUCUGUGUGUGUGUGUGAUAUAUAUAAAAAAUGAUGGAUGAGGAAAUUGUGGAUAUGGCCAAAUCUGAAUCACUUGUAUUUAACAAUAGCAUGUGAUUUACAUGGAAACCUGUUGGUGGAAAGAGCCUAUAAAUAAAGGCCUUCUCUCCUCAUUCUAUUUAUCCUAGAAUUGAAAGAAAAAGAGUGGUCUAACUUUGAGUGAAAAAGUGAGGUUCUCUUGAGAAUUAAAGAAUUAUUAUUCUCUCGGGUGUAAUAGGGAUUUGGAUUGUGAGAAGUGAGUGCUUAUAAACACUUGUAGGGAGAAAAAUAACUACGUAAAUUUCGUGUUUUGUUUUGUCUACUCUAUUUUAUUAUCAUUUCCAUGUUUUUUUUUUAUUAACGACAUGUCCUAUGGUGUUCUAGGAGCUUAGUGGUACUAUAAGGAGGUUUUGUCUAAGGAGGUUGGAAUUUAAGAGGAACAAUUGUGACCCCUCCAAUUUUUCUUAGGAACUUUUAUUUAUGUCUAAGGAGACUAGGUCUUAAAUGGGAUCAUUGUGAUCCUUCCAAUCUUUCUUGGGAACUUUCUUACUAGUUUAAAGCUCUAGGUAGAAGUUUUUCUAUAAUUUUUAAUAGGUAUAAAGGUACUGUAAAAAGUACACUUUUUGUUGAAUUCCUAAGGAACCAGAUUUGAGUGGGAGUGAUGGCAACAGAUGAAGAAAGAACAUCAUAAUUGAGAAGUUCGAUGGUGAACAUUUUACCUUCUGGAAAAUGCAAAUUAAAGAUUAUCUAUAUAUGAAAGACAUGCAUUUCCCUUUUUUUUUUUUUAUGAGAAAAGCCAACCGAUAUGAAAGAUAAAGAGUGGGCUUUACUCGACAAACAGGCACUUGGAGUUAUCCAAUUAACGUUAUCUUGGAAUGUCGCUUUCAACAUAAUGAAGAAGAAGACCAUGACGGGUCUUAUGGCAGUUCUCUCUGACACGUAUAAGAAGUCAUAUACUUCAAAUAAAGUGCACUUUAUGAGGUUGUUAUUCAAUUUGUGAAUGACAUAAGGUGCAUCUGUAGUAGCUCAUAUCAAUGAAUUUAGUACAAUCACAACACAACUAAGUUUAGUGGAAAUCAAGUUCAAUGAUGAAGUUUGAGCUUUGAUCCUCCUAUCCUCUAUCUAAAAGUUGAAUCGCAAUGGUAACAAUAGUGAUCAAUUCUUUUGCGAGGAAGAAGAUGGUAUUUAAGGAUGUUCAAGGUCUAAUUCUAAGCGAAAAAAAUACACCAAAGAGAACUAGGGGAAACAUUAAGUUCCACCUUAAACAUCAAAUCUAGAGGUAGACACAAUGAUAGAAACUUAAAUCGGAGCAAAUUAAAUUCAAGAUGAAGCAAGUAUAGAUCUAAGAAGAAAGAGAAUAGCUGCUAGAACUGUGGUAAAAUGGUCACUUGAAGAGAGAUUGCAGAGCACCAAAAAAGAACAAUGGCAGUGCAAAGGAAUCCGUGAACGUGGCCGAAGAUACUGGCGAUGCUCUAAUCCUAAGUGUCAAUAGUCUAGUUGAAUCUUGGAUUUUGGAUUAUAGGGCAUCAUAUCACUACACCUCACAUUACGAAAUCAUGGAGAACUACAUCAAUGGUGAUUUUGGGAAGGUUUAUCUGGUUGAUGAUGGGACCAUGAAGAUUAUGAGGAAAGACGAUAUUCAAGUGAAGCGACCAAAUGGGACUGUCUGGAAGUUGAAAGACAUGAGAUUAAUUCCUAGUCUAAAAAGAAAUUUAAUCUCAGUGGAUCGACCUGAUCAAGAAGGUCAUCAUACAACCUUCUUAGGGAGUGAAUGGAAGAUCACCAAGGAAACUAUAGUCAUAACUUAUGAAAAGAAGAAUGGUACUCUCUAUGUUACUUCUAGCAUGGAGAAUAUUGUUGCAAUUGUAGAAUCAUAUGAGAAAUAGAAAAUCUAGCAGUAGAGACUCAAUCAUAUGAGCGAGACAAGGAUGAAGGUUCUUGUUUCAAAGAGGAAGCUGCCAAAUCUAAAAUCAGUAGACAUCGGUCUAUGCAAGGAUUGUAUUUUCGGCAAACAGAAAAUGGUCAAUUUCUCAAAGAUAGGCAAGCCACCCAAAGUAGAGAAGUUAGACCUAGUUCACACAGAUGUGUGGGGGUCAUCACCAAUUUCAUCUAUUGGAGGCUCAUAUUACUACGUCACCUUCAUUGAUGACUUUACUUGGAAAGUAUGGGUUUAUUUUCUGAAAAAGAAAUCAAAAGUUUGUGAUGUUUUCAAGAAAUGGAAAGCCAUGGUAAGAGCAAGACGGGCUUGAAAGUGAAGCAUUUGAAGUUCAACAAUGGAGGAAGGUACGAAGACGAGAAUCUUAAUGAGUUUUGUGUAGCCAAUGGAAUUAAAUUGGAAAAAACUAUUCCAAAGACACCUUAGCAUAAUGGUAUAGUACAACGCAUGAACAAAACUCUCAAUGAACAUGUUAAAAGCAUGAGAAUACAUGCAGGCUUACCUAAGAUGUUUUGGGCUAAAGUUGUUAGCAUAGCGACCUACCUUAUCAACCAUGAGCCUUUAGUGCCUUUUGGAGAAAAGUUACCUAAGGAAGUAUAGAGCGAUAAAGAGGUGAAAUUUUCACUUUAGAGAUUAUUUGGUUGUAUUUCUUUUGUGCAUAUUGACUUAUCUAAAAGGAGCAAGCUCGACACAAAGUCUAAGAAAUGUGCUUUUAUUCGAUAUGGCAUUAAUGAAUUUGGCUACUGAUUUUGGGAUUUUGAAAAUAAAAAAAUCAUCAGAAGCAGGGAUAUCAUCUUCAAUGAGAAAGCAAUGUACAAGGACAAGUCAUUUGUAGAAUCUAUCAACACAAAAGUCAAAACUGAAAAAAAAAAAAAGAGUACAUUAAGUUUGAGGAAAAAUCUAAGAAGGAAAUACAAUCAGGGGAUCAAAAGAAUCCUAUAAAUGAAGUAUCUCAAGAAAAACCACACACUCCUGUAGCAGAAGUGAGACACUUCUUGAGAACUCCUAAAUUGAUAUAAUGUUAUUCACCUUCUUUGCAUUAUUUAUUGUUGACUAACAAUAUAGAACUAGAGUGUUAUGAUGAAGUAAUUUAGGUUAAGGAUUCGGUCAAGUGGGAUUAUGCCAUAAAAUAUGAGAUGGACUCCCUGAUGUCAAAUAAGACAUAGGAUUUGAUUGAACUACCAAAAGGAAAGAAAGCUUUACGUAACAAAUGAGUUUUCAAGAUCAAAGAAGAGCAUGAUGGAAGCAAGCGUUACAAAACUAGGAUGGUAGUUAAAGGAUUUCAAUAGAAAGCAAGAAUCGAUUAUGCUGAGAUUUUCUCUCCAAUAAUGAAGUUGAUGACAAUCAGAUUGGUGCUAAAGAUGGUAGCUGUAGAAAAUUUGCAUAUUGAGCAGUUAGAUGUGAAGACAAUGUUCCUUCAUGGUGAUUUAGAGGAAGAGAUUUAUAUAAUGCAACCAAAAGGCUUCAUGAUCGUAAGCAAAAAAAGCUUUAAGUGCAAGCUGAAGAAGAUUCUAUACGGUCUGAAACAGGCUCCAAGAUAGUGGUACAAAAAGUUCAAUAGCUUCAUGAGUAGCAACGGUUUUACAAGAUGUCAAGUAGAUCAUUGUUGUCAUAUAAAAAAGUUUGACGACAACUUUAUUAUUUUACUUUUGUAUGUAGAUGAUAUGCUCAUUGCAGGUUCUGAUAUGCAAGAGAUAAAUAACUUAAAAAGAAAAUUAUUGAGGCGGUUUGCAAUGAAAGAUGUAGGUGCUACAAACUAGAUUCUUGGAAUUAAUGAGGAUUAGCAGGGACAAAGUAGCAAAGACUUUGAUGUUGUAACAAGUAGAGUACAUCAACAAAGUACUCUCUAGGUUCAACAUGUAGAAUGCUAAAUCAGUGAGCCUGUCUUUAGGUGCCUAUUUCAAAAUUUCCAAAGAGCAAUCACCAAAAAUAGAGGAAGAACGUGAUCACAUCAAAAAAGUUCCUUAUGCUUCAACCAUUGGAAGUUUGAUAUAUGUUAUGGUUUGUAUGAGACUAGAUAUUGUGCAAGUAGUAGGAGUGGUGAGCAGGUACAUGAACAAUUAUGGUAAGAUGCACUAGGAAGCGGUUAAAUGGAUCCUUAGAUAUUUUCAAAAUACCUAAAAAAUGUCACUCUAUUUAAGAAGUGGGGAUAUGAAAUUGGAAGGCUUUGUUGAUAGUGACCUAGGUGCCGGAGAUGUCGAAAACAGAAAGAGCACUAAAAGAUAUGUGUAUACUCUUAAAUGAACUAUAAUGAGUUGGGUUUCUCAAGAAAGUUGCAACUCUCUCCACUACCGAAGCAGAAUAUAUUGUUACUACGAAAGCCAAUAAGGAGAUGAUUUUCUCUUCAAGGUUUCUUGGAAGAGCUAGGAGAAAAAUAGGAGAACAAUGUCUUUUAUUCAAAUAAUCAGAGUGUGUUUCACUUGUGAAGAACCAUCCUUCCAUGCCAGAAUGAAGCAUAUUCAAACAAAGUAUCAUUUCAUUUGAUCUCUUUUGGAGGAAAAAGUUCUUAGACUUGAGAAGAUUGAUGGAAAUGAAAUCCCAGAUAUAUGCUAACAAAGACGGUGACAAUUCACAAACUAAAGUUAUGUUCGAUUUCAAUUGGCCUACAAACAUAGAAGAAGAAAGAUGAGUUGUUGCAUUGAUCUUGUGUGAAGACAUAAAGUAAGUACUCUUCAAGUGAGAGAACCACGUAAAGUUUGAGUGAACCAUGUAAAUUUUCAUAUGUUAUUUUUUCUACUCUAUUUUGUUAUUAUUUCCACAUUUUUUUAUUCGCUUCAUUAAUUUGGUCUUUUGGAAGGUUUAUUUCCUAACAUUUUUCAACUCAAUUUCUUAUCUAAAAUUGAAAUGGGAAUUGGUUUCAUCCUCAAUUCAAAUAGAUUUUUGGAACACUUCACCAUUCCCCUUCCACACUUUCCACCAUCCAAACAAUAAAUAUAAUUACUUAACUCAAUUACAUAUUUUUGCUUAUUUUCAUUUACAUUCAAAACUUGUUAGAAAGGAACCUUGAGUUUAGGAAGUUCCCAAUUAUUAGGAUUUGAUUUUGUUUUAUAAAAGUAAAUUAGAAUAUUUACAAAUUUGAGUGGUUGAUUUAAUUAUAUGUUUAUACAUAAGUCCUGCAAGUUAUUUUUUAUACUUUUUGUUAUUAAGAGUCUAUUUGUUAGAUAAAGGUGUCCAUAAAAAAAAAAAAAAAAAAAAAAGGAGUUAGUAUGAUAGUUGAACAAGAAUGGUGGAAAGUAAUGUCAUUUUCUUGAUUUUUCUCCAUUACUUAUUUCUCUCUAUGGAUUUGUUUAUGUGUUCUCAACUUUAUUCCUUGAACAAAUUAGGUCGUGAGAAAAAAAUGACAAGUAGGAUAUAUUUGUUAUAAGUCUUUUAGCUCAAUAAAAAUAAUUACAAUAAUUGGAGUAUGAAGAUAAAGACUUUACUUGAUUCACAAGAUGUAUGAAAGGUUGUAGAUGAAGGCUAUAAACAAAGAGCCUUGACAUAAAACCACUAUUCUAAAAUCAAAGUAAUUUUUUGAAAGGUAUAUGGAAAACAAAAAAAAAAAAAAAUGCCAAAAGGGAGGGAAGAAGAAAGCUCUUACCCUUAUCUAUCAAGCAAUAGAUAAAGGCAUGUUUGGAAAUUUUCCAAAUGCAACCAUGCACUACCAAGAAAGCAUGGACGAUAUUAGAAAAUGCACAUAAAGAAAUUGAUUAAUUAAGAAAAGUAUGUCUUUGUACCCUUAGAGGAGAAUUUAAAAGUUUGACCAUAAAAGAAGUAGAAUCAAUCUCCCAUUAAUUUUUCAAGAGUUAUAGUGAUCAGCCAUGAAUCAACUAAAAUGAAACAAUUAAAAUUUUAAAUCAUACUUGUGUGACUGAACAAAUAAUUCAGUCUAUUAGAUUCAAAGUUUGGUUGUUGUGCUCAUUAGAUAGUAAAAUGAUUUUCAUUGUAGCAUGAAGACAGAUUAAAAAAGAACCAAGAAAAAGUUCUUCAAACAAAACUUAAAUGACAAGAAACUGAAGAAAAUCUUAAUAAUAAAAGAAGUCAAAACGAUCGUGGAGUGGUUAUGACCAAGUAAACAUAGAAAGAUGUGGUUUUAUUUCAUCAAAUAAUCAAGAACACUAAUGUCAAAACCCAUAUUUUUUAAGAAGAUGUGAAAGAGAGCACAACUAAAGACAAAAUGAAAGGAGAAGUUAUGAGAAAUCUCAAGUUCAACCUUAUAACUAUAAAAAAUUUGGUCAUUAUGUGUAUGAAAUAAAAAGUACUACUAGCAAUAUGGAAAGAAAAGCCAAUCAUGUUAAAACAAAUAGGUAAAGAAAAACCUAGCCACUUUAUUUUUGGCAUAUAAAACACAAAGUAAUAAGGAGAAAAAUACAUGGUAUUCACUCGAUGGUGAAAACAGCCAUAUAUGUAGCUUCAAAAGUAUUUUCUUUGAAAUUGAUCAAUAUUCAAACACUAAUAAUGUUACUUUUGAAUCUAUUCAAAAUUCUCAAAAAAGGCAAAGGUAAAAUCUUAAUUUGUUCAAAAAAUGGAAGAUAUUAAUUUAUUUCAAAUAUCUAUUAUGUGCAGAUUAUGAAAAACAAUUAAUUAAGUUUGGAUUAACUUUUAAAAAAGAUAUAAUAUUCAUAAGAAAAAUCAAGUUCUCUCAAUAAGAUAUCAAUAUGUUGACUUCCUUGCAAAUGUAGUCAUGACAAGAAAUAUAAUGUUUCUGUAAUUAAAAUUGCUAAAAUUUUGUGUCAAUGUUCCCAUCUAGAUUUUCCACUUAAGAUAUCAACAUCUUAAUUUAGGAGGAUUGAAAUUGUUGAUCAAGAAAAAAAUGGUAUAAGGAUUGCCCUCUACAAAUCAUUUGGAUCAAUUAUAUAUGUGAAGGAUGCUUACUUGGAAAAUAUUCCUAUGAAAGUUUUCCAAAAGUUGGAAUUCAAGGUUUGGUAACUCCUUGAGGUUGUAAUGAUUUGCAGAUCCAGAGUUAUAGAAGAAAUUAAGAAAAUUUGGGAGAAAAAUGCAAAAUGUAUGAAGAAUAAAUUAUAUCUUCUCUCUCUCUAAUACAAUUGGAACUUAUCACAUUAUAUGGUACAAUGCAGGUUUUAAAUGGCAUGUAUGCCUAGACAUUGUUUUUACUUGGAACCAUUAAAAUAUAGUAUUACUAAUAGCAUUGUAAUAAAAUGGCAGAAGAUAGAUAUCAAUACAAGUCUAAUUAAGAAAGUUUCUCAAAGGCCACCUUCACAAUUACUUGUAAGCAGCUAAUAAGAUUUCCUCUAUAAUUAGGAAAAAUCUUCAUAUCAACUAUUCUUUGCACUUUAAUCUUUUUACUUAGUCAUUGAGAGGUUGUGAUCAGCCUUAAAAAAACUCGUCAAAAAAGGAUUUAGAGCAUAAAAUUUGAGACAGUUAAGGCCACUAAUAAGAGGGAAGUUGACCCAAACAUCACAACCUAUUUGAAACUAUAAAACUUAAUUAGAUAGUAAUUGUUUAAAUGUUUUAUUGGUGUUGAGAUUCUCCAAUUACACUAUAAAAUGGUUUGAGAAGAAUGAGGUUUCACUAUUGUUAAUUGCUUACAAGUUUUACCAAACAAAGGAGAAGAGAGAGACAAGGAAAAGAUGGACCUAAAAUUGAAUAUCACAGCAACCUCUCUUCUGCUAUUGCUAGCAUCUGCUGC